CCAGGACCACCAUUCAGAAGUCUCACAGAAUCGCAAUCCAUAGUCUCUGUCAUCAUGUUCGUUGUCAAAGCUAUUGUCCUCGUUGUUGCCAUGUUGGCCUUGGUGUACGUGGCUGUCGCUCAUCCCGGUUUCGGAUACGGGUCAUAUGGUCAUGGAUACGGACAAGGAUACGGGCAUGGCUACUUUGCACCUAGUUACGGGCACGGGUACGGUUCACAUGGAUAUGAUUUCGGAUACAGUCCAUACUACAACCAGCACUCAUUCUACGACCACGGUCACCAUUGAGGAUUGAAUUCCGAAUGGGCCCAAGAUAGUUCACCUUUCUGAACUAUCCGCACACUGCUACACAUUCCCCUUUUCAUUUUCUUUUUUGAGAAAUGAAGAAAAUGAGAUGAAAUUAAAAGAAUGUAAGAAACUGAAUUAGCAAAAUGAAGAAAUGAAAAGUG
Long non-coding RNA from Macrobrachium nipponense, 446 nucleotides. RefSeq lists it as uncharacterized. The record is from RefSeq and is a predicted model, not a curated record. The transcript has 3 exons. NCBI's taxonomy places the organism in Eukaryota, Metazoa, Arthropoda, Malacostraca, Decapoda, Palaemonidae.